This 366-nucleotide ribosomal RNA is filed under the name uncultured Gammaproteobacteria bacterium. RNAcentral describes it as "bacterial LSU rRNA". It matches the Rfam family "Bacterial large subunit ribosomal RNA", at positions 1 to 411 of the family's 2925-position model. The record is from RNAcentral. Lineage: Bacteria; Pseudomonadati; Pseudomonadota; Gammaproteobacteria.
UUAUAUGGUCAAGUGACUAAGCGCAUACGGUGGAUGCCUUGGCAGUCAGAGGCGAUGAAGGACGUUGUAGCCUGCGAAAAGCUUCGGGGAGUCGGCAAACAGACUUUGAUCCGGAGAUGUCCGAAUGGGGAAACCCACCCUUAGGGGUAUCCUAUACUGAAUACAUAGGUAUAGGAGGCGAACCUGGUGAACUGAAACAUCUAAGUAACCAGAGGAAAAGAAAUCAAAUGAGAUUCCCACAGUAGCGGCGAGCGACCUGGGAGCAGCCUGCAAGUGAUAUCAGCUUGGUUAGUGGAACGGUCUGGAAAGUCCGGCAAUAGAGGGUGAUAGCCCCGUACACGAAAACCUCGCUGUGUACUAAGCUGA